Eriocheir sinensis (Chinese mitten crab) is the source of this 1538-nucleotide long non-coding RNA. RefSeq lists it as uncharacterized. The record is from RefSeq and is a predicted model, not a curated record. NCBI's taxonomy places the organism in Eukaryota, Metazoa, Arthropoda, Malacostraca, Decapoda, Varunidae. The transcript has 3 exons.
UCAUUUUCCUGUCUCAAGUUCACCUUGCAGUAUUACUGAAACAAUAGUUUUAGAAUACAUGCUAAUUCUUUUUAUGACUCAUGGACACUAAUGAAAACCAAACGUAAAGGUCAGUAUAACACCCAUAGGACUCAUAAAAACUGAACCUCCCCUGUCAGAGUACUACACUACUAUUAGCAUAGACCUUUACAAUACUACCUGUAAAUCAUUAUAAGUAAAGAGGUUGCAUAAGGUAAAGGUAAGUGAAAUGUAAUUCAUAUGAUUUAUUAUCAAAUAUUGUCUGGUACAUGUGGUAUUGAAGGUUGUGGCUGCCUCUGGUUGAACAUGUAGUUGAAGGAUAUAGAUAAAUGUCACCCACAUUGUACUAGAAAAUGCUUUAAAUUUGUUCCUGUACAAAAUUGUAUAUUAAAAGAAAAGUGAUGUUAGGCAUGUAACUUACAUAUUGCCUUUGAAGAAAGAUCCUUAACUGAAAUCCAUGUUUUGCCCUUGGCAGCUGUAUUAGGGAUAUAUAUAAUAUAAUGAUUUCCCAAGUUGCUACCAUGAUCCAGCAUGUCUACCCAAGUUUUUUUUUAACCCUGAUGUGGUCUCUUACAUCAAACAUUUGAGUAACUUAGGGGACCUACAAGUGCACACAGGACCCCCCUCAGCCACUGGACUAUUAUUCCCUGUGGCAAGUGGAGUACCCCAAGGUUCUGUUUUAGGUCCUGUUCUGUUUCUUAUAUAUAUAUAAAUCACAUUGCCUCUACUCUACUAUCUAUAAUGUCAAACUAUUUGCUGAUGAUUUAAAAUUAUACUCAUUGAUAAGACCCAGUAAUCCAUCCUCAGUAUUACAGGACAUAAGUGUAGUACAAAGAGACAUAGAUACCCUAAUUACAAUUGCUGAAUCAUGGGAUCUGGGAAUCAAUGCUGACAAAACUAAGAUUAUGUCUUUUGGUCCAAAUCUUCGACUUAUACAUGAUCUAGGCCUUUAUUCAAUUAAAGGGAAACUUAUCAGCUUCACUUCAGAAGCUGUCGACUAAGGUAUAAUCAUAGACCCAACAUUGAGGUUUCAUAAUCAUAUUCGAUCAAUAGUUAGCAAGGCUGCAGGACUGUCUAACAACCUGCUGAAGUCCACCUUGUGUCGGUUGGCAAGUUUUAUGAUCAAGUUGCUUAUCACUCACAUACGUCUCCUUUUGGAUGAUGUGUCUUUAUGAUCAGCGUCUGAAGUUUCUCGAUUUCUUUUCAGUCAAGGGAAGACUCUUGUGUGCUGAUCUUAUUAAAUGCUGGAAGAUUUUUAAUGACUUCCUGGGUUGGACUUCAGCGAUGAUACAGAACAGCAACACGUCAGUGGCGACCAAGGCUGCAUUUACACCAAGAGUUGAGGCGUGUCAGCACACAGCAAGUCUUGACUACGCAACUCACCACUCAAGGUUGAGGUGCUGGGAGGUCAGCAAUGCCGGGUGAGAAGUUCCCUGGAGACCAGAGGCUGCUGGAACUCCCCGGCUGUCCUGCAGCUCCUAAUGGGGUGAACAGCCGCCCCUCCACAGGGGAUAGAGAAG